This is a non-coding RNA of Paramuricea clavata, 432 nucleotides long. The record is from the annotation of a GenBank genome assembly. Lineage: Eukaryota; Metazoa; Cnidaria; Anthozoa; Malacalcyonacea; Plexauridae.
UGUCCUAAAUGAAUCGCAUACAAACUCAUAUACAGGUCCUAGACUAAUUGUAAAAUUGACAUCGGUGCUACUAAAUUCUGUAUUUUUAUAAUUCUGAUUUAUCUUUCUAUUAAACCCGCCAAAAGCGGAAAAAUACAGGAUUUAAUAGCACGGAUGUCAAUUUUACAAUGCAUUUUACUACAGUUACUUGCUAGGCCGCCAUUACUCUGGCAAGAACAUGCGUGGGCGCCGGCAGCGUCAAAAACAUCAAAGGAGUGAGCCAUCUAUUCAUUCCUUAAUCUAUGGCUAAAGGGUCAAAAAACACAUAUAUAGCCUCGUCUAGAUGUUAAAAUAAUGCAGAUACCGCUGGUCCGUAACAUAGACGUAUUCAAUUACGAUAACAGCUAUUCAAGAGGUAAGUUGCACUUGAAACUGUGCUUUUAUACACCAAUU